AGGGUUCGACUCCGGAGAGGGAGCCUGAGAAACGGCUACCACAUCCAAGGAAGGCAGCAGGCGCGCAAAUUACCCACUCUCGGCACGAGGAGGUAGUGACGAAAAAUAACGAGGCGGUUCUCUAUGAGGCCCGCUAUCGGAAUGGGUACAAUUUAAACCCUUUAACGAGGACCUAUGAGAGGGCAAGUCUGGUGCCAGCAGCCGCGGUAAUUCCAGCUCUCAAGGUGUAUAUCGCCAUUGCUGCGGUUAAAAAGCUCGUAGUUGGAUCUGCGCCUUCGGACUCGGUCCGCCCAACGGGUGUGAACUGGGAUCCAAGGCUUCUACUGCUGGUUUUCCCUUGAUGCUCUUCACUGGGUGUCUUGGGUGGCUAGCGAGUUUACUUUGAAAAAAUUAGAGUGCUCAACACAGGCUAACGCCUGAAUACUCGUGC
This 430-nucleotide ribosomal RNA is filed under the name Nematoda sp. ex Grus americana W330. Its description in RNAcentral is "SSU rRNA". It matches the Rfam family "Eukaryotic small subunit ribosomal RNA", at positions 372 to 808 of the family's 1831-position model. Lineage: Eukaryota; Metazoa; Nematoda. The record is from RNAcentral.